UACAGAGGGUGCGAGCGUUAAUCGGAUUUACUGGGUGUAAAGGGCGCGUAGGCGGCGGGAUGUGAGUGAUGUGAAAGCCCCGGGCUUAACCUGGGAAGAGCAUUGCAGACUGUCCUGCUAGAGUACAUGAGAGGGUGGCGGAAUUUCCGGUGUAGCGGUGAAAUGCGUAGAGAUCGGAAGGAACGUCAAUGGCGAAGGCAGCCACCUGGCAUGAUACUGACGCUGAGGCGCGAAAGCGUGGGGAGCGAAC
Molecule: ribosomal RNA, 250 nt
Filed under: uncultured bacterium
Lineage: Bacteria
Description: partial 16S ribosomal RNA
Rfam family: Bacterial small subunit ribosomal RNA
Source: RNAcentral